Arachis ipaensis is the source of this 397-nucleotide non-coding RNA. The record is from RefSeq and is a predicted model, not a curated record. Lineage: Eukaryota; Viridiplantae; Streptophyta; Magnoliopsida; Fabales; Fabaceae.
UAACAUAUAAAUGGAGAAGUCUUGGAACUUGGGUGGUUAAGGUUAUAUUUCAAUUGUGUCAUCUGAUGGUCACUACUGUUUGAUUUGUAGAAUAUGUAACAGAUUUCUAUCUACCAUGGUCUAGGUAUAAAGGUGGACCAGCAUUACCGAGGAAGUUGAUCUCGCAGGGUGCUGCAUUGAGGCAAUAUAGUGUUGAGGUUUACCCACUCAUUUUGAAGUUGACUGAUGCUAGAGAUAACAGUGUGUCAGCUAUAAAAUUAAGCAAAAAGGCGAACAUAAGGGAACUAUAUGAACUGGUGUGUAAAAUCAAAGGAGUAGAACAAAAAAAGGCGAACAUAAGGGAACUAUAUGAACUGGUGUGUAAAAUCAAAGGAGUAGAACAAAAAAAGGUGCUUAU